CUCUGUGACUCCUACGGGAGGCAGCAGUGGGGAAUAUUGCACAAUGGGCGCAAGCCUGAUGCAGCCAUGCCGCGUGUGUGAAGAAGGCCUUCGGGUUGUAAAGCACUUUCAGUUGUGAGGAAGGUGGUGUCGUUAAUAGCGGCAUCAUUUGACGUUAGCAACAGAAGAAGCACCGGCUAACUCCGUGCCAGCAGCCGCGGUAAUACGGAGGGUGCGAGCGUUAAUCGGAAUUACUGGGCGUAAAGCGCAUGCAGGUGGUUUGUUAAGUCAGAUGUGAAAGCCCGGGGCUCAACCUCGGAAUUGCAUUUGAAACUGGCAGACUAGAGUACUGUAGAGGGGGUAGAAUUUCAGGUGUAGCGGUGAAAUGCGUAGAGAUCUGAAGGAAUACCGGUGGCGAAGGCGGCCCCCUGGACAGAUACUGACACUCAGAUGCGAAAGCGUGGGGAGCAAACAGGAUUAGAUACCUGGUAG
This 471-nucleotide ribosomal RNA is filed under the name uncultured bacterium. RNAcentral's name for it is "bacterial SSU rRNA". It matches the Rfam family "Bacterial small subunit ribosomal RNA", at positions 328 to 793 of the family's 1533-position model. The record is from RNAcentral.